Molecule: ribosomal RNA, 405 nt
Filed under: uncultured bacterium
Lineage: Bacteria
Description: partial 16S ribosomal RNA
Rfam family: Bacterial small subunit ribosomal RNA
Source: RNAcentral
GAUGAACGCUGGCGGCGUGCCUAAUACAUGCAAGUCGAGCGAUGCGCGGUCGGGUGUGUAUAACGUGGUUACCCUCGUAUAAGACUGGGUUCACUUCGGGACACUGGUGCUCAACCGGACAUUUAUAGUUGGAUCCGCGCUGUAUUAGCUAGUGGGUAAGGUAACGGUAUACCAAGGCAACGAUGCAUAGCCGACCUGAGAGGUUGAUCGGCCACACUGGAACUGAGACACGGUCCAGACUCCUACGGGAGGCAGCAGUAGGGAAUCUGCCGCAAUGGGCGAAAGCCUGACGGAGCAACGCCGCGUGAGUGAUGAAGGUCUUCGGAUCGUAAAACUCUGUAAUUAGGGAAGCGGUACCUAAUCAGAAAGCCACGGCUAACUACGUGCCAGCAGCCGCGGUAAUAC